GACGAACGCUGGCGGCGUGCUUAAUACAUGCAAGUCGAGCGAGGUUACUGCGACAGAUCCCUUCGGGGUGGAGUUGCUUUAGCCUAGCGGCGGACGGGUGAGUAACGCGUGGGUAACCUACCCUAAAGUUCGGGAUAACAGCGGGAAACCGCUGCUAAUACCGGAUGCCUUUACCGUGUGGCAUCACAAGGUAAAGAAAGGUGACGCUUUAGGAUGGGCCCGCGUCCCAUUAGCUAGUUGGUGAGGUAACAGCUCACCAAGGCGACGAUGGGUAGCCGGCCUGAGAGGGUGGACGGCCACACUGGGACUGAGACACGGCCCAGACUCCUACGGGAGGCAGCAGUAGGGAAUAUUGCGCAAUGGACGGAAGUCUGACGCAGCGACGCCGCGUGAGCGAUGAAGGCCUUCGGGUCGUAAAGCUCUGUCCUUGGGGAAGAAGGUCUUCGGACUUGACGGUACCCAAGAAGAAAGCCCCGGCUAACUACGUGCCAGCAGCCGCGGUAAUACGUAGGGGGCGAGCGUUGUCCGGAAUUACUGGGCGUAAAGGGUGCGUAGGCGGCCCUUUAAGUCAGAUGUGAAAGCCCGCAGCUUAACUGCGGAAUUGCAUUUGAAACUGGAGGGCUUGAGUGUCGGAGAGGGUAGUGGAAUUCCCAGUGUAGCGGUGAAAUGCGUAGAUAUUGGGGAGGAACACCAGUGGCGAAGGCGACUGCCUGGACGAUAACUGACGCUGAGGCACGAAAGCUAGGGGAGCAAACAGG
RNAcentral lists this ribosomal RNA (758 nucleotides) under uncultured Neomoorella sp. Its description in RNAcentral is "bacterial SSU rRNA". It matches the Rfam family "Bacterial small subunit ribosomal RNA", at positions 28 to 776 of the family's 1533-position model. Lineage: Bacteria; Bacillati; Bacillota; Clostridia; Neomoorellales; Neomoorellaceae. The record is from RNAcentral.